RNAcentral lists this ribosomal RNA (730 nucleotides) under uncultured bacterium. Its description in RNAcentral is "bacterial SSU rRNA". It matches the Rfam family "Bacterial small subunit ribosomal RNA", at positions 771 to 1501 of the family's 1533-position model. The record is from RNAcentral.
AACAGGAUUAGAUACCCUGGUAGUCCACGCCGUAAACGAUGUCGACUUGGAGGUUGUGCCCUUGAGGCGUGGCUUCCGGAGCUAACGCGUUAAGUCGACCGCCUGGGGAGUACGGCCGCAAGGUUAAAACUCAAAUGAAUUGACGGGGGCCCGCACAAGCGGUGGAGCAUGUGGUUUAAUUCGAUGCAACGCGAAGAACCUUACCUACUCUUGACAUCCAGAGAACUUAGCAGAGAUGCUUUGGUGCCUUCGGGAACUCUGAGACAGGUGCUGCAUGGCUGUCGUCAGCUCGUGUUGUGAAAUGUUGGGUUAAGUCCCGCAACGAGCGCAACCCUUAUCCUUUGUUGCCAGCGGUUCGGCCGGGAACUCAAAGGAGACUGCCAGUGAUAAACCGGAGGAAGGUGGGGAUGACGUCAAGUCAUCAUGGCCCUUACGAGUAGGGCUACACACGUGCUACAAUGGCAUAUACAAAGAGAAGCGAACUCGCGAGAGCAAGCGGACCUCAUAAAGUAUGUCGUAGUCCGGAUUGGAGUCUGCAACUCGACUCCAUGAAGUCGGAAUCGCUAGUAAUCGUAGAUCAGAAUGCUACGGUGAAUACGUUCCCGGGCCUUGUACACACCGCCCGUCACACCAUGGGAGUGGGUUGCAAAAGAAGUAGGUAGCUUAACCUUCGGGAGGGCGCUUACCACUUUGUGAUUCAUGACUGGGGUGAAGUCGUAACAAGGUAACC